RNAcentral lists this ribosomal RNA (432 nucleotides) under uncultured bacterium. Its description in RNAcentral is "partial 16S ribosomal RNA". It matches the Rfam family "Bacterial small subunit ribosomal RNA", at positions 338 to 795 of the family's 1533-position model. The record is from RNAcentral.
CCUACGGGAGGCAGCAGUGGGGAAUUGUUCGCAAUGGGCGCAAGCCUGACGACGCAACGCCGCGUGGAGGAUGAAGGUCUUCGGAUUGUAAACUCCUGUUGCCCGGGACGCGGUACCGGGUGAGGAAGCCCCGGCUAACUCUGUGCCAGCAGCCGCGGUAAUACAGAGGGGGCAAGCGUUGUUCGGAAUUACUGGGCGUAAAGGGCGCGUAGGCGGCCCGCUAAGUCGAACGUGAAAUCCCCGGGCUCAACCCGGGAACUGCGUCCGAUACUGGCAGGCUUGAAUCCGGGAGAGGGAUGUGGAAUUCCAGGUGUAGCGGUGAAAUGCGUAGAUAUCUGGAGGAACACCGGUGGCGAAGGCGGCAUCCUGGACCGGAUUGACGCUGAGGCGCGAAAGCCAGGGGAGCAAACGGGAUUAGAUACCCUUGUAGUC